AAUGGCCGCAGUAUUUUAACUGUGCAAAGGUAGCAUAAUCAUUAGUUUUUUAAUUGAAAGCUUGUAUGAAGGGUUGGACGAAGUAAAUACUGUCUCUAUAUAAUUUAUUAUAAAANUUAAUUUUUAAGUUAAAAAGCUUAAAUUUUUUUAAAAGACGAGAAGACCCUAUAGAGUUUUAUAUUUAUAUUUAAAAUUAUUUUUUAGAUAUUUAUUUUUUUUUUAAUGAAAAUAUUUUAUUGGGGUAAUAAAAAGAUUAAAUUAAUUCUUUUUGAUUUUUAACAAAGAUAAAUGAUUUUUUGAUCCAUUUUUAUUGAUUAUAAGAUUAAAUUACCUUAGGGAUAACAGCGUAAUUUUUUUAGAGAGUUCAUAUCGAUAAAAAAGUUUGCGACCUCGAUGUUGGAUUAAAGAUUAAUUUAGGUGUAAAAGUUUAAAUUUUUGGUCUGUUCGACCAUUAAAUCUUUACAUGAUCUGAGUUCAGACCGGUGUAAGCCAGGUUGGUUUCUAUCUUUAGAUAAAUUAAAUAUUUUAGUACGAAAGGACCAAAUAUUUUUUAUAUUAAUUUUUAUAUUGAUUAUUAUUGUUAUUUUGGCAGAUUAGUGCAAUGAAUUUAGAUUUCAUUUAUGUAGUUUAAUUACAGGUAAUAU
RNAcentral lists this unclassified non-coding RNA (644 nucleotides) under Himalotrechodes insignis. Its description in RNAcentral is "partial contains 16S ribosomal RNA (rrnL) and tRNA-Leu (trnL)". The stretch from base 338 to 496 matches the Rfam family "Bacterial large subunit ribosomal RNA", at positions 2473 to 2632 of the family's 2925-position model. Lineage: Eukaryota; Metazoa; Arthropoda; Insecta; Coleoptera; Carabidae. The record is from RNAcentral.